AUUGAACGCUGGCGGCAUGCCUUACACAUGCAAGUCGAACGGCAGCACGGGAGCAAUCCUGGUGGCGAGUGGCGAACGGGUGAGUAAUAUAUCGGAACGUGCCCAGUCGUGGGGGAUAACGUAGCGAAAGCUACGCUAAUACCGCAUACGAUCUAUGGAUGAAAGCGGGGGAUCGCAAGACCUCGCGCGAUUGGAGCGGCCGAUAUCAGAUUAGGUAGUUGGUGAGGUAAAGGCUCACCAAGCCGACGAUCUGUAGCUGGUCUGAGAGGACGACCAGCCACACUGGGACUGAGACACGGCCCAGACUCCUACGGAGGCAGCAGUGGGGAAUUUUUGGGACAAUGGGCGCAAGCCUGAUCCAGCAAUGCCGCGUGCAGGAUGAAGGCCUUCGGG
Molecule: ribosomal RNA, 393 nt
Filed under: uncultured bacterium
Lineage: Bacteria
Description: bacterial SSU rRNA
Rfam family: Bacterial small subunit ribosomal RNA
Source: RNAcentral